Molecule: long non-coding RNA, 342 nt
Filed under: Arabidopsis lyrata
Lineage: Eukaryota; Viridiplantae; Streptophyta; Magnoliopsida; Brassicales; Brassicaceae
Description: long non-coding RNA (ALYR_LNC000293)
Source: RNAcentral
UUCUCUCUUCUUUUUCCCAAACCCAAUCUAAAUAUCCAAUCUAAACACUUAAUUUCUUUCAUUCCCAACCUAGUAGCUAGUCUAAAAUAUGUUCCAAAAGCUAGCUAAAACAAGAGCUAAAACCUUGUCGUUCUCAAUACUCUCAAGAUUUCACAACCUAUAGCAUUUUCAAACAAAAGGCCUCACUCACAAAUCAAUCAUGGGUUUGAAAGAAAAGGUAAAGGUUUAGGGUAAGGGAACCAUUCUAGAGGUGAGAAUGGCCAUUCGAGUUUACAAAAGAUUGGCAAAGUGGAUAAGAAAACCCGAAUGAGUCUUUUAGACAACCAUGAGAAUGCAUUUAAG